GACGAAGGUGGCAAGCGUUGCUCGGAAUCACCGGGCAUAAAGCGCGCGUAGGUGGCUUGAUAAGUCGGUGGUGAAAUCCCAUGGCUCAACCAUGGAACUGCCGUCGAUACUGUCAGGCUUGAGGGCGGUAGGGGAGAGUGGAACUCCUGGUGUAGCGGUGAAAUGCGUAGAUAUCAGGAGGAACGCCGGUGGCGAAAGCGACUCUCUGGGCCGUUCCUGACACUAAAGUGCGAAAGCUAGGGGAGCAAACAGG
Molecule: ribosomal RNA, 253 nt
Filed under: uncultured bacterium
Lineage: Bacteria
Description: partial 16S ribosomal RNA
Rfam family: Bacterial small subunit ribosomal RNA
Source: RNAcentral